This 435-nucleotide ribosomal RNA is filed under the name uncultured bacterium. RNAcentral describes it as "bacterial SSU rRNA". It matches the Rfam family "Bacterial small subunit ribosomal RNA", at positions 29 to 507 of the family's 1533-position model. The record is from RNAcentral.
AACGAACGCUGGCGGCAUGCCUAACACAUGCAAGUCGAACGAGGCCCUUUGGGGUUUAGUGGCGCCCGGGUGCGUAACGCGUGGGAAUUUGCCCUUUGGUUUGGAAUAACAGCUGGAAACGGCUGCUAAUUCCGGAUGAUGACGAAAGUCCAAAGAUUUGUCGCCAGAGGAUGAGCCCGCGUUGGAUUAGGUAGUUGGUGGGGUAAAGGCCUACCAAGCCGACGAUCCAUAGCUGGUUUGAGAGGAUGAUCAGCCCCCCUGGGACUGAGACCCGGCCCCGACUCCUUCGGGAGGCAGCAGUGGGGAAUAUUGGACAAUGGGGGCAAGCCUGAUCCAGCAAUGCCGCGUGAGUGAUGAAGGCCCUAGGGUUGUAAAGCUUUUUUUCCCGGGAAGAUAAUGACUGUACCAGGGGAAUAAGCCCCGGCUAACUCCGUG